AGUGAACGCUGGCGGUAGGCCUAACACAUGCAAGUCGAACGGCAGCACAGUAAGAGCUUGCUCUUACGGGUGGCGAGUGGCGGACGGGUGAGGAAUACAUCGGAAUCUACUUUUUCGUGGGGGAUCACGUAGGGAAACUUACGCUAAUACCGCAUACGACCUACGGGUGAAAGCAGGGGAUCUUCGGACCUUGCGCGAUUGAAUGAGCCGAUGUCGGAUUAGCUAGUUGGCGGGGUAAAGGCCCACCAAGGCGACGAUCCGUAGCUGGUCUGAGAGGAUGAUCAGCCACACUGGAACUGAGACACGGGCCAGACUCCUACGGGAGGCAGCAGUGGGGAAUAUUGGACAAUGGGCGCAAGCCUGAUCCAGCCAUACCGCGUGGGUGAAGAAGGCCUUCGGGUUGUAAAGCCCUUUUGUUGGGAAAGAAAAGCAGCAGGUUAAUACCCCGCUGUUCUGACGGUACCCAAAGAAUAAGCACCGGCUAACUUCGUG
RNAcentral lists this ribosomal RNA (492 nucleotides) under uncultured bacterium. RNAcentral's name for it is "partial 16S ribosomal RNA". It matches the Rfam family "Bacterial small subunit ribosomal RNA", at positions 29 to 507 of the family's 1533-position model. The record is from RNAcentral.